RNAcentral lists this ribosomal RNA (600 nucleotides) under uncultured Actinomycetes bacterium. RNAcentral's name for it is "bacterial SSU rRNA". It matches the Rfam family "Bacterial small subunit ribosomal RNA", at positions 252 to 866 of the family's 1533-position model. Lineage: Bacteria; Bacillati; Actinomycetota; Actinomycetes. The record is from RNAcentral.
GUGGGGUAACGGCCUACCAAGGCAACGACGGGUAGCUGGUCUGAGAGGACGAUCAGCCACACUGGGACUGAGACACGGCCCAGACUCCUACGGGAGGCAGCAGUAGGGAAUCUUGCGCAAUGGGCGAAAGCCUGACGCAGCGACGCCGCGUGCGGGAUGAAGGCCUUCGGGUCGUAAACCGCUUUCAGCAGGGACGAAAUUGACGGUACCUGCAGAAGAAGGCCCGGCCAACUACGUGCCAGCAGCCGCGGUGAUACGUAGGGGUCUAGCGUUGUCCGGAAUUAUUGGGCGUAAAGAGCUCGUAGGCGGUUCGGCAAGUCGGAUGUGAAAUCUCCACGCUUAACGUGGAGGGGCCAUUCGAAACUGCUGUGACUCGAGUCCGGUAGGGGAGUUCGGAAUUCCCGGUGUAGCGGUGAAAUGCGCAGAUAUCGGGAGGAACACCAGUGGCGAAGGCGGAACUCUGGGCCGGAACUGACGCUGAGGAGCGAAAGCGUGGGGAGCGAACAGGAUUAGAUACCCUGGUAGUCCACGCCGUAAACGUUGGGCACUAGGUGUGGGGUUCUAUCGACGGAUUCCGUGCCGUAGCUAACGCAUUAAGUG